UCCAGUCUUGGUGUCGUUUCUCUAACAAGAUCCAAGUACCUCUGAUUCCAAGCUUCCUCGCUUACUAAGCUUACUAAGCUUACUAAUCCAAACUUGUGUUCAUCCAAGUCUUUCAUCUGAGGACUUCAAGUCCUACCUGAACAAACAAACAUCCACCAACCUCCCAGGCUCCACAUCGUCUCCCCUCUCUGGCGACUUCCUCCAGCUCCAUUCUCUGGUGUGUUUCCAGUUCCGGAUCUGUUCCCAGACGUCUCUGUUUAAGGAAAAUAAACUGUCUAACCUUUUUCUGUCUCGUGAGUGUUAUCUGCAUGUGGACCAAGUCAGUUAAAGCUACCAUGACACAAAUGUUUUGAUAACAUUGUAAUGGGCAAGCCACAAAAAUGUCCACCCAUGGCCACACCAACAUCAAAACGCACCCGUUCAGAGUGCUAAGCCAGCACCUCCACUAUCUCUCCAGAGAAAAGCUACGCCGAUGUCCUGGACUCUAUGGACAAGAAGCUAACAAGUCUGGAUGCUCGUCUUGCCAUGGUGGAAGUUCUCCACAGGGAAUUUCAACCUCUGAGGGAGUCUCUGGAGUUUAGCCAGGAACAAUUUGCAUCUGUCACAGCUGAGAAACAAAUGCUGUGGGAUGGCAUGAAAACACUUACCUAUGGAAUGACGCAGCUGUCCGUAGAAAAUAAAAAGAUGAAGGAGACCAUCCUGGACAUACAGGCAUGCAGUACACCCUUGUCUUCUCUGGCAUACCAGAACGUACAGAGGAGGAUGCUGAAUUCACAGUCAUCAAAAUUCCCCAACAUCAGCUGAAAUUCCCAAGUGACAAGAAGCUACACCUGGCCUGACUCUGUGUAUACCUGUGACACCUUCCUGGAGGGGGACAUCGUCCAAGCUUCUGCUGCCAACAACUUAAUGCUCACCUUCUUCCAAUGAUACACGUGGCCCUGUCUUUCAGUGUUUAUCCCUAUUUUCUCAUAGACAAAGCAACUGACUGACCUUUUACUGUGACUAACUGUAUGUGCUCUCUCUCAAACUCUAAACUUGAAAACUGGCUCAGUUUAUCUGUUUUUUUUUCCUAGAUGAAACCGCUAAAGAAGCUACAUCAAUUAACAUUAUACCUGUAUGAACCCUUCUCUUUUCCAGUGGUUAUAAUCAGUCUGACAGAAAGUGGAACCCCCAAUCCUUGUGGUUUUUAGUAUAACAAUGGCCACCAGUGGGCUCUACAUGGACAAUUCUUAUCAGUU
This is a long non-coding RNA of Girardinichthys multiradiatus, 1238 nucleotides long. RefSeq lists it as uncharacterized. NCBI's taxonomy places the organism in Eukaryota, Metazoa, Chordata, Actinopteri, Cyprinodontiformes, Goodeidae. The transcript has 3 exons. The record is from RefSeq and is a predicted model, not a curated record.